UGCAAGUCGAGGGGCAGCAUGAGUGUAGCAAUACAUUUGAUGGCGACCGGCAAACGGGUGCGGAACACGUACAGAACCUUCCUUCGAGCGGGGAAUAGCCCAGAGAAAUUUGGAUUAAUACCCCAUAGCAUUACAGAGUGGCAUCACUUUGUAAUUAAAGAUUUAUCACUUGAAGAUGGCUGUGCGGCUGAUUAGAUAGUUGGCGGGGUAACGGCCCACCAAGUCUACGAUCAGUAACUGGUGUGAGAGCACGACCAGUCACACGGGCACUGAGACACGGGCCCGACUCCUACGGGAGGCAGCAGUAAGGAAUAUUGGGCAAUGGAGGCAACUCUGACCCAGCCAUGCCGCGUGGAGGAUGAAGGCCCUCUGGGUUGUAAACUUCUUUUAUUUGGGACGAAAAAAGGCUUUUCUAAGCCGACUGACGGUACCAGAUGAAUAAGCACCGGCUAACUCCGUGCCAGCAGCCGCGGUAAUACGGAGGGUGCAAGCGUUAUCCGGAUUCACUGGGUUUAAAGGGUGCGUAGGUGGGUUGGUAAGUCAGUGGUGAAAUCCCCGAGCUUAACUUGGGAACUGCCAUUGAUACUAUCAGUCUUGAAUAUUGUGGAGGUCAGCGGAAUAUGUCAUGUAGCGGUGAAAUGCUUAAUAUGACAUAGAACACCAAUUGCGAAGGCAGCUGGCUACACAUAUAUUGACACUGAGGCACGAAAGCGUGGGGAUCAAACAGGAUUAGAUACCCUGGUAGUCCACGCCCUAAACUAUGGAUACUCGACAUAUGCGAUACACAGUAUGUGUCUGACGAAAGCAUUAAUAUCCCACCUGGGAAGUACGAUCGCAAGAUUGAAACUCAAAGAAUUGGCGGGGGUCCGCACAAGCGGGGA
Molecule: ribosomal RNA, 881 nt
Filed under: uncultured Flavobacteriales bacterium
Lineage: Bacteria; Pseudomonadati; Bacteroidota; Flavobacteriia; Flavobacteriales
Description: bacterial SSU rRNA
Rfam family: Bacterial small subunit ribosomal RNA
Source: RNAcentral